UCCGGCUUAUCACCGGCGGUUUCUUUAGAGUGCCCAACUAAAUGAUGGCAACUAAAGACGAGGGUUGCGCUCGUUGCGGGACUUAACCCAACAUCUCACGACACGAGCUGACGACAACCAUGCACCACCUGUGUACCUCCCCGAAGGACACCGUAUCUCUACGGCUUUUCGGUACAUGUCAAGCCCAGGUAAGGUUCUUCGCGUUGCCUCGAAUUAAGCAACAUGCUCCGCCGCUUGUGCGGGCCCCGUCAAUUCCUUUGAGUUUUAGCCUUGCGGCCGUACUUCCCAGGCGGGGCACUUAAUGCGUUAGCUACGGCACGGAGCCCGUCGAUCGAGCCCCACACCUAGUGCCCAACGUUUACGGCGUGGACUAC
This 374-nucleotide unclassified non-coding RNA is filed under the name uncultured Acidimicrobiia bacterium. RNAcentral's name for it is "contains 16S-23S intergenic spacer region". Lineage: Bacteria; Bacillati; Actinomycetota; Acidimicrobiia. The record is from RNAcentral.